CAGCCAGCUCCACUCCCGGGCGCGGCGCGGAGCUGGAGGCCGCCGCGGCGCAGCCGGGCACCUUCCGGAGGCGGCGGGUCCCCGCUCGGGGUCUGGGGUCCCCCCUCCCCGCACCUUGGACGGGGAAGCCCGGCUCUGUAAAAUGACCAAAAAUGGAGGAUAAUUUAAACAUCCCCCAAAUUCAUGAAGAAAAGGUUUAAACUGAACUUACCGGACAUUCUGACCUGAAAGAAGAAGCAACUUUUAUAACAGCUGAUGUUGCAGCAGAAGAAUCAAUCACCUGGGCUCCUAGAUGCUGGGGGGAAAGGGAACAAAAAACAAUAAUUUUAAAAUGUAAAAAAAGAAUACCCAAGACCAUUGUGAAAAUUCCAGGUGGAGACCAACAAUAUUAAUGUUUUAUACCUACAGAUAUAAGUUUGAGUUUUUCUCCCCUAAUGCCAAGUAUUUAAAACCUCUAGAAACCAA
Molecule: long non-coding RNA, 465 nt
Organism: Mauremys reevesii (Reeves's turtle)
Lineage: Eukaryota; Metazoa; Chordata; Testudines; Geoemydidae
Exons: 2
Source: RefSeq, a predicted model, not a curated record